CAAAAUGUGGCUAAAUUAGCAAAGCACCUCCCUUACACCGAGGAAAAACCCGUGCAAUUCGAGUCAUUUUGA
Molecule: transfer RNA, 72 nt
Filed under: Cephalurus sp. 1 SPI
Lineage: Eukaryota; Metazoa; Chordata; Chondrichthyes; Carcharhiniformes; Scyliorhinidae
Description: tRNA-Val
Rfam family: tRNA
About the family: Transfer RNA (tRNA) molecules are approximately 80 nucleotides in length. Their secondary structure includes four short double-helical elements and three loops (D, anti-codon, and T loops). Further hydrogen bonds mediate the characteristic L-shaped molecular structure. tRNAs have two regions of fundamental functional importance: the anti-codon, which is responsible for specific mRNA codon recognition, and the 3' end, to which the tRNAs corresponding amino acid is attached (by aminoacyl-tRNA synthetases). tRNAs cope with the degeneracy of the genetic code in two manners: having more than one tRNA (with a specific anti-codon) for a particular amino acid; and 'wobble' base-pairing, i.e. permitting non-standard base-pairing at the 3rd anti-codon position.
Source: RNAcentral